GAGUUUGAUCAUGGCUCAGAAUCAACGCUGGCGGCGUGCCUAACACAUGCAAGUCGCACGAGAAAGUGGAGCAAUCCAUGAGUAAAGUGGCGCACGGGUGAGUAACACGUGAAUAAUCUACCUCCGAGUGGGGAAUAACUGAGAGAAAUCUUAGCUAAUACCGCAUAACACUUACGAGUCAAAGCAGCAAUGCGCUUGGAGAGGAGUUCGCGGCCGAUUAGCUAGUUGGCGGGGUAAUGGCCCACCAAGGCGAUGAUCGGUAUCCGGCCUGAGAGGGCGCACGGACACACUGGAACUGAAACACGGUCCAGACUCCUACGGGAGGCAGCAGUGGGGAAUUUUGCGCAAUGGGGGAAACCCUGACGCAGCAACGCCGCGUGGAGGAUGAAAUCCCUUGGGAUGUAAACUCCUUUCGAUAGGGAAGAUAAUGACGGUACCUAUAGAAGAAGCCCCGGCUAACUUCGUGCCAGCAGCCGCGGUAAUAC
Molecule: ribosomal RNA, 485 nt
Filed under: uncultured eubacterium WR115
Lineage: Bacteria
Description: bacterial SSU rRNA
Rfam family: Bacterial small subunit ribosomal RNA
Source: RNAcentral